Non-coding RNA from Peromyscus maniculatus bairdii (prairie deer mouse), 778 nucleotides. Lineage: Eukaryota; Metazoa; Chordata; Mammalia; Rodentia; Cricetidae. The record is from RefSeq and is a predicted model, not a curated record.
CAGAGACACAUACAGACACAUACAGACACAUACACACAUUACACACACACAUGCACAGAGACACACACAGACACAUAACACACAGAGACACACACAUUACACACACACACAUUCACAGCUCAGGCAACCUAAGCUAUACUGUCACCCAUCUGUUUAAUUUUCAGAGAGAUAUCUACGGAGUCAUUCAUUUAAGAGAUUAUGGGACAUCUAUGGCCAGAUGCUGCACCAGGGUGACUGGACCAGCCAAGAAGGACUUUGCCCUUCUUUGUGCCCCUACCUUGGUCUCCUGCACAAGAAUUACCUGGUUGCCUCGGCAUUUUCUUGGCCCUCCCUGAGUUGCUGAGAAACUUCUGUCUUGGGAUCUUUAGUGAUCCAAAAGAAUGUCAUUCAUCCAAGAUCCUGGGGGUCACUGCAAGAAGGGUUAGGUGUGCCUCCCCCAAGGGAGGGGAUCUGAACAUCCCCAGGUGCGUUUGAAAUCCCAGGGAGCCUCACAGUCACUGGAAAAGAGAACGUUGGUGUCAAGCAAAGGAACACACAGACGAAGCAAAAACAGUUCAGCAAGGUGAUUUGUUCCGGCAGGAAGUGCAAGCCACAGCCGACAGCAGCACACCAAGUCAAAGCGGCCUCUGUCUUUAUCACUGGUAUAGGUGGUGCCUUCAUGUCAUGGCUGGGAGCUCAGUGUCACAAUCUGACAGGUGGCUAACUGUCACAAAGGAGAAGAACAUAUGAGCCCUCAUUGGGUUAAAUGCCUUUGAUUAAAAAAAAAAAAAAAAAAAAA